Molecule: long non-coding RNA, 1634 nt
Organism: Mastomys coucha (southern multimammate mouse)
Lineage: Eukaryota; Metazoa; Chordata; Mammalia; Rodentia; Muridae
Exons: 2
Source: RefSeq, a predicted model, not a curated record
GCCGCCGACGUCCAUUUCCGAGCGUGUGCGCGCCGCGGCGCCCGUUCCUCUUCCCCUUUUAUCUGUGCUUCCUGCCGCUAGGACUUAAUGGCGUGCCUGACGCUGCACCGCGCAGAAGUUAAGCCCCUUAUUUUUUUUAAAAAAAAAAGAAAAAGAAAAACAAUACUCAGAACCUCUAUAGAGUGUUGUACCCGCUCCUUGACACUGGUCAUCUCCAUCCUUACUCCCAGGACUUGGAAGGCUCCCAGGCAAUACAAGAAUUGAAGAUGCCUUGCCCGCACCAAACCACACUCCUGGGGGCCUCCGGAAUUGGCCCGACCUGGGAUAGAUGCAAAACUGCCCCCUGACAAGACAGCCUGAGCGGUUUUCUGUCGUCCUUUCUUUUCAUAACUUUAAGCUUUUUUUUUUUUUUUCCAGAGAACUCCUGGGUCCUUGGUUUCUGACGUCGUUGCCUCUUCAGUACAGAGCCUGAGAGGCCUGAUGACAGCAGUCUUCAGGGUAAGGCUUUUAUCCUUGAAGGUGAAGAGAAGAAUUUUUUCCCUUUAUCUUUGUGGAAUUCCACUAAGAGACUGGCCCAGGCCUCUCUCUCCAGAGAAUCCAUUUCCUCCAGAGCCAAGUCUGAGACUAUUAGUUAGUUCAUCAGUGUGUUUCUUGUAGUACUGACAUUUCUCAGAGUCUCAGAGAAUUUGUGAGGUGACUACAGCUCCCACAAGAGAAAUGUGACUCCAAAAUUCGGGACAAGGUGAAGCUAAAAUUUGCAGGAUGCGGAUGACCUCCCCUGAAAGGAGUUGGCACCAUGUGUGUGUACUGCAGAUGAAUCACAAAUGUCUUCUACAGUUCAUAACAAAGACAAGCAAACAUGUAAGAUAAGGCUUGGCAGGAAUCCUACCAUAAUAAAAAAAAGUCAAGAGAAUACUUUAGAGCCCGUUACUGCAUCUUGCCGGAGAAUAACACGACUGUCAAGAGUGUCGAAAGACUUUUUUAAAAAUAGCUUUCUGUGUUUCCCACCUGAACCCCUAGUUCCCUGCAAGACCCCUGGCCUUGGCAGGCCAGACUUCUCUGUCACUCAGCUCAGCAACUACUUCGGGGGAAACAGACUAGUCUCUCCACUUCCUACCCCCUUUCUACAUGAAUAUUCAUACAGACCAUACUCGCACAUAGUUCUAAAGUGAAAAGGUGCAUUCUUCGUAGUGACUCCAGGACAACAGACAGACAUAAGUCAAGACUGUCUCCGGAUAUAAGGUCACCCUACACUUAGCACGGCAUGGACAACAUGUCUCUCUACAUGUAUGCAUUCUACUUUUGGACGAUACAAUUCCCAAAGGCCAGAGACCAAGCCACGCUUAUAACUUUUUGCUUCUCGGGAGACCUUGGACCAGAGCACACACUCAAUAGACAUUCAAUAAAUUAUAAAAAUGAACAUACCAGUUUCCAUUUCUCUUUCCAAGUUUGGCUAAGCUCCUGGGGAAGCCAUGUCUUGAAGGAGCUAAAAACAGAACCAGCUCCAGGGGUGGCCUGAAGUGACAAAGCCUGACUCCGGGCAGGAGCAGCCUGAGACAAGAAAAACAAAUGCCCUAGUUUCUAAAGCACCUAUCAUGUACAAGGCUUGGGCUUAGUAAACAGCAACAAAGUAA